GGUUGGGCAAAAUGGCCUCCAGAGGUUUUUACCAAACUCAACCACUUUGUGAUUCCAUGAUUAUUGAAAGAAAAUUCACAUUUUCCAAGAUUCAUUUUUCUGUGAGUGACUACUAAGGAAGUAGUCUCAUUAAAAUAGCACUUUUUUUUUUUUUUUUUUUUUUUUUCCCCCCAGGUUUAUUUCAUUACGUUUAUGGAGUUGUAGGGUUUUUGUUUGUUUGUUUGUUUGAGAAUCUAUCAGACAUUCAAAGAUAUCUAAUCUGUUUUAAGCCUAUGAAGAGCAUUCAGGAAGCUGGCUCGUUACCCAAAGCAUGGAUGCAGUACCCAGGCCUAAGCUGCUCAGAGAGAAGCUGUGAGUUCUGCUGCAGUGAGAGAAGACAACUCUCAGUGAUGCCAGUGGGGUUUCUCUGAUUAAGACCUUCGGUAAUCAACCUAUUUUGUGGACAAAAAAGAAUUUUCUAGCCUGGACUGAUUUCUCAGCCAUCCUUUUCUGCACCAGACCAUAAUAAGGUAAUUCACAUGUUACUUUUCUACCACUGAUACCUCCUCUGUCUCCUGUUCCUUUUCUAGUAGUUUUAGAAUAUGGAGUUUUGAACCCCACAAAGACAAAAUCUACAGCAUUUAAUUUACUUCACUGUUCUCACAUAGCCAUUUAUCCUUUUCAAGCAAGUCUGCUCUGACAGAAAAUUACCAAAUUAUCACCCUUUGUCACAGGCAGCCAUAAAAUCUAUCCCAGUAGUAGUGAGAAAAAGGAUUCAGAGUGCAUGCUUUCUCAUGAAGGGAAGGGAAGAGAAAGGGAAA
RNAcentral lists this long non-coding RNA (800 nucleotides) under Phasianus colchicus (ring-necked pheasant). RNAcentral's name for it is "lncRNA (ENSPCLG00000003794.1)". The record is from RNAcentral. Lineage: Eukaryota; Metazoa; Chordata; Aves; Galliformes; Phasianidae.